GAGUUAGAAGCCGAUUUGGGCCAUUAAAUCCUAAUUGGAGGGAAAAAGCAAUGUCUUUGGUACUGUUCCGGAGAGCUACAUUGUGAAGAGUCUAUGUUUUAGCUAUGUUGUGUCACUGUGGCUAUGUGGAACACAAUUUUUGCUCCAUGGUUUCGUAGGCAAUCCUGUGCUAGUCUAUAUCCUUUUCUGUUUCUUGUUUUUUCACCUUUUUCCCUUUUUUUUUUAAUUGCAUUCACUUUUCAGGCAAGAAAAAGAUGGGAUUUUUUUUUCUUAAUAUUGCCCAUCAUUUAAGCUUUUGUUGGAUUAUCCGCUUUGGUAAUGAAAAUUUAGAUAAUUCACUUAAGGCAUAAUUAUAUAGCUUUUUUCUUCAAGAUAUGGAUAACUGUUCUAGAUGGUAUCGUAUCAUACCUUAAUUUAUUCUGAAAAUUGAUUAUUCUCGAAUAGCCUAGAGCUCAUGUCUUGCUUUCUAUAGGU
This 474-nucleotide unclassified non-coding RNA is filed under the name Hevea brasiliensis (rubber tree). The record is from RNAcentral. Lineage: Eukaryota; Viridiplantae; Streptophyta; Magnoliopsida; Malpighiales; Euphorbiaceae.